CAUCACCUCAUUUGCAUAAGUGGCCUUGUGCAUGUAAUUGUGAUGGAAGCUGUAGGAGAGAGGAACAACGUCGUGGGGGAGACAAAAGGGUGGGAUCAGCUAGGGUCAGCUUCCUGCAUGCACGAUUAAUUUGCAGUCUCGGCAGGGGUGAACAUCCCCUGCGCUGACUGCAGCUGGGAGGGACUGCUGUGUGAGGACUGGGCCACCUGUGAGUGCUUUGAGACGGGGGUGGGGCCCACUGCAGUGCUCGUUGAGAAGACGGGUCAGAUGCCGGACACCAACCACACCAGGAAUUCUCUUCAACUAUUCAACCUGAAAAUCCAUUGGCACCCCUGAGAUGACUCCUUUGACCUGUGCUCUACUCCGAAGUUCAAAACACAACUUCUGUGGUCCGGAUUCUUUUGAGGCUCACUGCAAUCUUCCUCUGCUCUUCAGAAAUACAAUUAAUUAAAAUAAGACCACUCCUGGUCACUCUGACAGACUCUUCCAAGCGCAUACUUCACAAUUUGACACCUCAAACGGGUUUCCCACAUAUGCAUCCCAACAAGAAGUGACUCAUUUGCACACGUAUUCUCCAUUCCAAUUUUAAGACAAUUUUAUUUUUUUGUUCCGGUUUUCAAUAUUACUGUUGAACAUUCGCCUUCACCAAAUUUACUCAACGCGCUGAUCCAUUUGAACUCAUCAACCAUUUCUGUUAUCUUCCACCCUUAACCCCCUACCAUUUGUACCAUUUGACAUUGUCAACUUCAAUGGGGUAGGGACGUCCCAAGAAUCCAGAUAGCAAAAGAGCUGGUUAAAAAGGGUACUCCACUGCCUCACUAUGGUACUUUACCGCAUCUACUGGAAGAUCAGAUGAAUUCACACAAAAUCAAUGUGAAAAACAAAUGCCCCAUAGGACUGCAUUACCACCUGCACAUAAGUUUACGUUUAUAAAGAACUAAAAAUUGACAUGGAUUUCAUCAGCCAGUGAGACAGACUUUAUGAGGUUUCUGUGUUAUGCACUAUAUCCCAUUACCAUAUAUAUGAUUGAAUAUUAUCUGCUGUUGGCUUGUGUGGAUGUAUGUAUGUGUUAUGCAACAUAGCUGACUUGAAACAUUGUUAACAGUUUCAAGGCCAUGGGACUUUCUAAUGAUGGAAAAAGACAGAGAUGCAUGAAGACAGGAACUGUUCAAUGAGUUGGGAGGGGGGCACAUUCAGAGCGGGGUGUUGCGAGAACAAGCGGUCUUUUGUUAGAUAACAGGAGCCAGGUGCGAGAACGGUAUGAGCGCAUGGAUGUUCUUCGCAGCAACAGUUACAUCUAUCAGCAGAAGCGCCAAGAGGCGGGUACCCGCCUGAGCGCCUACAAUAGGCUGAGCAAGUUUAAACCACGCCCAGUCUCUACUGUGAUAGGCCAACAGACGGGUUGGAACUGUCUAUCACAGUAUAAAGAAUACUGUUUACAUACAUCUUGUCAGUUCUCUGUUUUGC
This is a long non-coding RNA of Oncorhynchus tshawytscha (Chinook salmon), 1467 nucleotides long. RefSeq lists it as uncharacterized. The record is from RefSeq and is a predicted model, not a curated record. Lineage: Eukaryota; Metazoa; Chordata; Actinopteri; Salmoniformes; Salmonidae. The transcript is spliced from 3 exons.